UGACAUAUUGAUAUAAGCAUUUUUUGAGUCACUAGCAUGGUUAAAGUUGGAAAUACUUCAAGUUGUGAACAAAAGUUUACAUACACAGGUCAGGAACACACAUGUCAUGGCAGACUUGAGUUUACAAUAAACCCAAUAACUCCUAAUUUUCUGUGGUGGAAUAAUUCAAGCUCAUGUUUCUGUCACAUAGAACAAUCGUGCUUUGUGCAUAUUUCUAGAGAACAAUCAUGAAUUUAUCAAACGGCCACUGUGAAUUACUGUUUUUGUGACAGAGAUGCAUGUGUUCUAAUCAUUCAGUCAUUGAAAAUUUGAUUAUAAGAGUCACUAAAAGCUCAAGAUUGCUAUGAUAUACAUGACUUUUAUAAGUAUGUGUAAACUCCUGUUCCCAACUGUAAGUGGCUGGUUGCUUUUAAUAAGUGCCACGUUGGUUUAUUUUUUCAGAAAUGAUCCAAUUAGAGGAUUCGUCUGCAGAAACAGAGACCAACCUGGGAGGAAGAUGUGCAACGACUUUCGUGUUCGCUUUGUCUGCUAUCCUCCUUACUGUGGUGGAGGAGUAUGUUGGACCAAGUGGUAUGAUCGAGACAAUCCCAGUGGAUCAGGGGACUGGGAGCAGCUAUACAGACAGAGACAGAUGAUGAAGAGCAAAGACGAAAUCUGCGAGUUCCCUCUGUACAUUGAGGCUGUUACCAAUGACAAAGAGCAGACUCCAGCAUUGAAAACAGGGCAGAAAUUCUUUGCCUACAGUCCAACUGAGGGAUUUAUUUGCCGCAACAAGGACCAGAGGAAUGGCAAGUGCCGUGACUACAAAGUCCGGUAUGGAUGCCCAUGCAAACACUGAGGCCUGACUCUCCAACACUGAAAAUGAUCAGGAGGGAAGAAAUCCAUGAUGAUGACUUUUUAAAUUUUUUCUCUGCUGUUUCUUUUCUUUAAUAAUUAAUUUUUACUGUGGUUAAUGGAAGAAAUAUAUAGCAGUAGGCCUUUUUCACAGUUAUUGUCACUUGUCGUAGUUAGAAAAGCAAAGGUACGAUUUUAUAAAUGGUUUUGUUCACUUCAAAUGUCCCUGUAAGCCAUAACAACACGACAGUUUGACCACUAUUCAUAAUACCAGAACUCUAAAGUAGCUUAAUUCAACCAUUUUUAAUUUUAUUACUUACACCUUUGCCUUUAUUUCAGAACGUACUCAGUGAAAAUUUGGCACAUUAUGUGAUUUUAUCUGUCUUUUCUUUAUAGUGAUUUUGAAAUCAUUAUCUUGUUUGGCUAA
Molecule: long non-coding RNA, 1261 nt
Organism: Acanthochromis polyacanthus (spiny chromis)
Lineage: Eukaryota; Metazoa; Chordata; Actinopteri; Pomacentridae
Exons: 3
Source: RefSeq, a predicted model, not a curated record